CAUUGAGGGAAAGUGAUUCAUUCAAUAGCUGCGAAUAAAAAAAAUAGCAUAUACUAUAAAAACAUAAACGUGUCUAUCAAAUCUAAUUAAGAUAGAAACUCAACGAAACCGAUUUGGCAGUUUAUUGAAAGCAAUUACUUAAAAUAUUGGUAACUAAACAUUGGAAUAUUACAAAAUUUUAGAUACUACUUGCGGAUAAACAUUUUUUGACCAGAAAAGUCAAUCAAAUUAUUAGUAAAACGGGCCGCAGUCGACAAUUCUUCCACAAGAACAAAGCGAAGCGAAACCGUCCAACAACAAUACGGAAAUAUAAUGGAAAGAAAUCAUCAUAAUUUUUAAUAUGGACUAAUUUCGGUGCGGUUUUUUAGCCCGCAAAAAAACCAGAGGGAACGAGGAAGAG
Long non-coding RNA from Contarinia nasturtii (swede midge), 400 nucleotides. RefSeq lists it as uncharacterized. The transcript has 3 exons. The record is from RefSeq and is a predicted model, not a curated record. NCBI's taxonomy places the organism in Eukaryota, Metazoa, Arthropoda, Insecta, Diptera, Cecidomyiidae.